CAGUAGCCGCGGGAAUAUGUAGGUGGCAAGCGUUGUCCGGAAUUAUUGGGCGUAAAGGGCUCGCAGGCGGUUUCUUAAGUCUGAUGUGAAAGCCCCCGGCUCAACCGGGGAGGGUCAUUGGAAACUUGGAAACUUGAGUGCAGAAGAGGAGAGUGGAAUUCCACGUGUAACGGUGAAAUGCGUAGAGAUGUGGAGGAACACCAGUGGCGAAGGCGACUCUCUGGUCUGUAACUGACGCUGAGGAGCGAAAGCGUGGGGAGCGAACAGGAUUAGAUACCCGAGUAGUCCCUGUCUCUUAUAC
RNAcentral lists this ribosomal RNA (301 nucleotides) under uncultured bacterium. RNAcentral's name for it is "partial 16S ribosomal RNA". It matches the Rfam family "Bacterial small subunit ribosomal RNA", at positions 509 to 807 of the family's 1533-position model. The record is from RNAcentral.